AUAUGUUCGUAAGAACAUGGCGUACUGCUCAGUAACACGUGGAUAACCUGCCCUUGGGUCCGGCAUAACCCCGGGAAACUGGGGAUAAUUCCGGAUAACGCACAUAUGCUGGAAUGCUUUUUGCGUAAAAUGGAUUCGUCUGCCCAAGGAUGGGUCUGCGGCCUAUCAGGUAGUAGUGGGUGUAAUGUACCUACUAGCCUACGACGGGUACGGGUUGUGAGAGCAAGAGCCCGGAGAUGGAUUCUGAGACAUGAAUCCAGGCCCUACGGGGCGCGGCAGGCGCGAAAACUUUACAAUGCGGGAAACCGUGAUAAGGGGACACCGAGUGCCAGCAUCCUAUGCUGGCUGUCCGGGUGUGUAAAAUACACCUGUUAGCAAGGGCCGGGCAAGACCGGUGCCAGCCGCCGCGGUAACACCGGCGGCCCGAGUGGUGAUCGUGAUUAUUGGGUCUAAAGGGUCCGUAGCCGGUUUGGUCAGUCCUCCGGGAAAU
This 490-nucleotide ribosomal RNA is filed under the name uncultured archaeon. RNAcentral's name for it is "bacterial SSU rRNA". It matches the Rfam family "Archaeal small subunit ribosomal RNA", at positions 60 to 550 of the family's 1478-position model. The record is from RNAcentral.